RNAcentral lists this long non-coding RNA (528 nucleotides) under Elaeis guineensis (African oil palm). RNAcentral's name for it is "long non-coding RNA (EGUI_LNC030896)". The record is from RNAcentral. Lineage: Eukaryota; Viridiplantae; Streptophyta; Magnoliopsida; Arecales; Arecaceae.
CUUGAAAUAGGAUCUCAGGACGAGUUUUGAAGUAGGAUCUCAAGGCUAGUCGAAGAGGGCCCUCCUUCUAGCGCCAAAUAUUGCUGCCGAUCUUCCCAUCUGAGGUCGGGUGCCGAAGUAGCCAUGGCCGACAUAGAUCCGUUGUUGAAGUUUCGCUCGAAUACCUGUAAAACAAAUCCACAACGGGGGGUGGGCUCUGGUAUAGACCGUCCGACACUCAUGUUCGGAGAUAGAGAAUGAUGAGAAGAGAGAAUUAGGAGUCAAUUAAUUGCAUACCUUUGGAGGAUCCUGGAGCUUUUAAUUUAUGAGAGAGGAGUUUGAGGCGUAUUCAACUCAAAGUUGUGAUGAUUUCUGGAUUUAUCGGAUGGAUAGAUUCGGAUGAGGAGUUUCUUUUUUAUGAGAGAUUCGAUCACAAAGGAGUUCUACUUUAUCUGGACUUUCUAAAUUUGGAGAAGAAGAGUCAGUAGACAGAUGUAAUAGUUCUGCAAGGACCGACCUAGUAGAUCUUCUUAGGCAACAGCGGACCUA